RNAcentral lists this ribosomal RNA (1021 nucleotides) under Promicromonospora sp. RNAcentral's name for it is "bacterial SSU rRNA". It matches the Rfam family "Bacterial small subunit ribosomal RNA", at positions 48 to 1084 of the family's 1533-position model. The record is from RNAcentral. Lineage: Bacteria; Bacillati; Actinomycetota; Actinomycetes; Micrococcales; Promicromonosporaceae.
CUUACCAUGCAAGUCGAACGGUGAAGCUCAGCUUGCUGGGUGGAUCAGUGGCGAACGGGUGAGUAACACGUGAGCAACCUGCCCCCUACUUCGGGAUAAGCCUUGGAAACGGGGUCUAAUACCGGAUAUGAACGUCUGCCGCAUGGUGGGUGUUGGAAAGUUUUUCGGUGGGGGAUGGGCUCGCGGCCUAUCAGCUUGUUGGUGGGGUAAUGGCCUACCAAGGCGUCGACGGGUAGCCGGCCUGAGAGGGCGACCGGCCACACUGGGACUGAGACACGGCCCAGACUCCUACGGGAGGCAGCAGUGGGGAAUAUUGCACAAUGGGCGAAAGCCUGAUGCAGCGACGCCACGUGAGGGAUGACGGCCUUCGGGUUGUAAACCUCUUUCAGCAGGGAAGAAGCGCAAGUGACGGUACCUGCAGAAGAAGCGCCGGCUAACUACGUGCCAGCAGCCGCGGUAAUACGUAGGGCGCAAGCGUUGUCCGGAAUUAUUGGGCGUAAAGAGCUCGUAGGUGGUCUGUCGCGUCUGGUGUGAAAUCCCAUGGCUCAACUGUGGGCUUGCAUCGGGUACGGGCAGACUAGAGUGCUGUAGGGGAGACUGGAAUUCCUGGUGUAGCGGUGGAAUGCGCAGAUAUCAGGAGGAACACCGAUGGCGAAGGCAGGUCUCUGGGCAGUUACUGACGCUGAGGAGCGAAAGCAUGGGGAGCGAACAGGAUUAGAUACCCUGGUAGUCCAUGCCGUAAACGUUGGGCACUAGGUGUGGGGCCAGUUCCACUGGUUCUGUGCCGUAGCUAACGCAUUAAGUGCCCCGCCUGGGGAGUACGGCCGCAAGGCUAAAACUCAAAGGAAUUGACGGGGGCCCGCACAAGCGGCGGAGCAUGCGGAUUAAUUCGAUGCAACGCGAAGAACCUUACCAAGGCUUGACAUGUACGAGACGCCCCAGAGAUGGGGUUCUCUUUGGACACUCGUACACAGGUGGUGCAUGGUUGUCGUCAGCUCGUGUCGUGAGAUGUUGGGUUAAG